Molecule: ribosomal RNA, 253 nt
Filed under: uncultured bacterium
Lineage: Bacteria
Description: partial 16S ribosomal RNA
Rfam family: Bacterial small subunit ribosomal RNA
Source: RNAcentral
UACAGAGGGUGCGAGCGUUAAUCGGAAUUACUGGGCGUAAAGCGUGCGUAGACGGUUAUUUAAGUCGGAUGUGAAAGCCCCGGGCUCAACCUGGGAAUUGCAUUCGAGACUGAAUAGCUAGGGUGCGGUAGAGGGAAGCGGAAUUUCCGGUGUAGCGGUGAAAUGCGCAGAUAUCGGGAAGAACACCCGUGGCGAAGGCGGCUCUCUGGGACGGUACUGACGCUGAGACGCGAAAGCGUGGGGAGCGAACAGG